AAGAUUAAGCCAUGCAUGUCUAAGUAUAAGCAAUUAUACAGCGAAACUGCGAAUGGCUCAUUAUAUAAGUUAUCGUUUAUUUGAUAGUACCUUACUACUUGGAUAACCGUGGUAAUUCUAGAGCUAAUACAUGCUAAAAAUCCCGACUUCGGAAGGGAUGUAUUUAUUAGAUUAAAAACCAAUGCCCUCCGGGGCUCACUGGUGAUUCAUGAUAACUCCUCGAAUCGCAUGGCCUUGCGCCGGCGAUGGUUCAUUCAAAUUUCUUCCCUAUCAACUUUCGAUGUUUGGGUAUUGGCCAAACAUGGUUGCAACGGGUAACGGAGGGUUAGGGCUCGACCCCGGAGAAGGAGCCUGAGAAACGGCUACUACAUCCAAGGAAGGCAGCAGGCGCGCAAAUUACCCAAUCCCGACUCGGGGAGGUAGUGACAAUAAAUACUGAUACAGGGCUCUUUUGGGUCUUGUAAUUGGAAUGAGUACAAUUUAAAUCCCUUAACGAGGAACAAUUGGAGGGCAAGUCUGGUGCCAGCAGCCGCGGUAAUUCCAGCUCCAAUAGCGUAUAUUAAAGUUGUUGUGGUUAAAAAGCUCGUAGUUGAACCUUGGGCCUGGCUGGCCGGUCCGCCUCACCGCGUGUACUGGUCCGGCCGGGCCUUUCCCUCUGUGGAACCCCAUGCCCUUCACUGGGUGUGGCGGGGAAACAGGACUUUUACUGUGAAAAAAUUAGAGUGCUCCAGGCAGGCCUAUGCUCGAAUACAUUAGCAUGGAAUAAUAGAAUAGGACGUGUGGUUCUAUUUUGUUGGUUUCUAGGACCGCCGUAAUGAUUAAUAG
This 825-nucleotide ribosomal RNA is filed under the name Fusarium neocosmosporiellum. Its description in RNAcentral is "SSU rRNA". It matches the Rfam family "Eukaryotic small subunit ribosomal RNA", at positions 40 to 875 of the family's 1831-position model. The record is from RNAcentral. Lineage: Eukaryota; Fungi; Ascomycota; Sordariomycetes; Hypocreales; Nectriaceae.